GAGAAAUCUGCUGUCACUCCAGCAAACUCUGAGAAACUCUGGGUCCUCCUACGAGCUCUUACUGGGUCCCUGAAGUUGGUUCAUACUUCUAAACAGACAUAUCCAGCUAUGUUGCAAGAAGUGAAUGGUUCUUCACCCUGAACAGUCUGCAGAUAAGGACUGUUUGCUACCAGAGAACCUGUCUUUCCAAGUAAUGAAGUGAAGCCUACUGGAUUGGUGAUAAGGGCUGGCUUUUCCUAGACAGGAUUCAUCCCAGGAGAGCGUGGUGCAAAGUAGUCAACAGCUCUAACACUGCUGCAGCAGAAUAACCCUUCAUCUGGGGUGCUUCCUGGCCUGAGUGCAAUAAAAAUCUGGAGGAGAUCAAACUCUGGCUCAUUUGGCACAGGAAAACCAAGCAACCAUGCAGGACUGGAAACUUCUAGCUGGUUUUCCUUUGAUUGGGAAGUACUUCUGCAAGUCUUUAUGGAAAAGUUGCCUGGGUGUUUGUCCUGCUCCCUCCCAGAAAAUGAGUGCACAUGUUGGAUGUCUCAUGAAGAAAUGUGGAUGAGACUUCCCUGCAAGGAAGAGGCUGUAAGUGCAAAAAAAAUUUCAAAAAUACUUAUGAAUUUCCUUUAAAAAUAGUUUCCUGUAACCUUUAGAAAA
Junco hyemalis (dark-eyed junco) is the source of this 642-nucleotide long non-coding RNA. Lineage: Eukaryota; Metazoa; Chordata; Aves; Passeriformes; Passerellidae. The record is from Ensembl.